This 492-nucleotide ribosomal RNA is filed under the name uncultured bacterium. RNAcentral describes it as "partial 16S ribosomal RNA". It matches the Rfam family "Bacterial small subunit ribosomal RNA", at positions 29 to 507 of the family's 1533-position model. The record is from RNAcentral.
AGUGAACGCUGGCGGUAGGCCUAACACAUGCAAGUCGAACGGCAGCACAGUAAGAUCUUGCUCUUACGGGUGGCGAGUGGCGGACGGGUGAGGAAUACAUCGGAAUCUACUUUUUCGUGGGGGAUAACGUAGGGAAACUUACGCUAAUACCUCAUACGACCUACGGGUGAAAGCAGGGGAUCUUCGGACCUUGCGCGAUUCAAUGAGCCGAUGUCGGAUUAGCUAGUUGGCGAGGUAAAGGCCCACCAAGGCGACGAUCCGUAGCUGGUCUGAGAGGAUGAUCAGCCACACUGGAACUGAGACACGGUCCAGACUCCUACGGGAGGCAGCAGUGGGGAAUAUUGGGCAAUGGGCGCAAGCCUGAUCCAGCCAUACCGCGUGGGUGAAGAAGGCCUUCGGGUUGUAAAGCCCUUUUGUUGGGAAAGAAAAGCAGCAGGUUAAUCCCCCGAUGUUCUGACGGUACCCAAAGAAUAAGCACCGGCUAACUUCGUG